AUUAUUUAUCUUUAGGUAGUAUAAAAUAUAAAAACCAAUACAACCUGGCGGUCAUUACCUUCUUGAGGAACUCGCUACCUAAUCGUCAAUACCCGUUAAAUUUAACCUUUUUUAAAAAUUUAUAUACCGCCGUCUCAUAGAGCAUUACAUUAUAUCUAAAAUAUUUAUAAUCAAUAAAAAAUCAGGUCAAGGUGUAGUUAAUAAAAAGGAUCUAGUAAGUUACAUUAAAAUUAAUUUUAGAAUUUAUCAAAAAAUCGUAAAUAAAAAAGAAUCCAUAUUCAUAAAUAAAUCAAAAUUUCAUUUAGAAUAAUAAGUAUAUGACGC
RNAcentral lists this ribosomal RNA (324 nucleotides) under Smeringopina mohoba. RNAcentral's name for it is "partial 12S ribosomal RNA". Lineage: Eukaryota; Metazoa; Arthropoda; Arachnida; Araneae; Pholcidae. The record is from RNAcentral.